RNAcentral lists this unclassified non-coding RNA (236 nucleotides) under uncultured Marasmiaceae. RNAcentral describes it as "sequence contains ITS1". The record is from RNAcentral. Lineage: Eukaryota; Fungi; Basidiomycota; Agaricomycetes; Agaricales.
CUGAAGAAAUGGUAGUGUUGAGCUGACUCUUCGGAGUAAUGUGCUCGCUCUAUCGCUUUUUCUACUCUCCACUGUGCACCUAUUGUAGGCUAUGAUAACUCUCGAGUUUCCCGCAAGGGUUAUUAGGAUGGAAAGCUAGUUCACUUGCUUGCUUUCAACCUUUGUAGCCUAUGUCUAUACAAACUCUACAGUUUUAUGAAUGUGUAUCAUUGGUCUUUGACCGAUAAAUCAAUAUA